UGCAGGGACUGCUCUGGGCCAGGCUGUUACGUCACAGGCAAUCCAACUGAGCAUUCACAGAGUUGCUUGCCUCUUACCGGAAACUAACGUAUCCAGCCAAGUGUACAGUAUCUCCGCCAGUAACGACCGACACACGUACGGCAACAGUCUGCGCAUGCGCGUCUACGACAGCCUCUGUCUGGCCUGUGACGGUGCCAGCUGUAAACACAAGAAACACACGUGCCACAUUGACCACCACUGCUACCAGGCAGGAGAGCGCGCCAGCCACGACCCCUCCCUGGUCUGUGACGUCAGCACAUCCAGCACCUCCUGGACCCACGUCAUCGGCGGUGACGUCACACCACCGCAGUGAAUCGGAACUUAACAACUAUAAUAAUAGGCCAUCCCUUUGAAAAAUGAAACGGCUUUCUUAGAAAAAUAAAUUUUAAUUCAUAUCAGUCUGAUUUGGGCUUUUAGAUUUUGAAUAAUAACAUAUUGAUUUUUUUCGAGGUUGUGACUAUGUACUUGCACAAAUGCGAGGAGUUUGCUGUUGGACAUGAAUUUGCGCAAUACAAAUGCUAUUUUUGGUU
Molecule: long non-coding RNA, 569 nt
Organism: Aplysia californica (California sea hare)
Lineage: Eukaryota; Metazoa; Mollusca; Gastropoda; Aplysiida; Aplysiidae
Exons: 3
Source: RefSeq, a predicted model, not a curated record